RNAcentral lists this ribosomal RNA (2877 nucleotides) under Triticum aestivum (bread wheat). Its description in RNAcentral is "partial small subunit ribosomal RNA". Lineage: Eukaryota; Viridiplantae; Streptophyta; Magnoliopsida; Poales; Poaceae. The record is from RNAcentral.
AUGGACAUCGAUUAUAUUGUGAAAAUAAGGACAUCCCCAAGGCAACGCUCUGAUUUCGUUUCGUGGUUCCCAGAGAAGAACGACCAAUUUUUGGUCAGGAGUGCUUAUAGACUUGCCACAGUUGAUCAUAACAUAGCGUUUGCGGGGGGAGCGUCCUGUUCUGCACCAAGUGGUACGAGAUCUAUUUGGAAUGGUGUAUGGAAAUCGUCGGUACCUCAGAAGAUGAAGAUCACAGCUUGGAAGGUAGUUGCAGGUGCCUUGCCAACAGCGCAAUGUAAAAACCUAAGGCAUAUAUCCACGCGCUCGACUUGUCCCUUAUGUGGAGUGGAAGAGGAGGGGUCUUUUCAUGCGUUAGUCACAUGCAAUAAUGUGCGCAUGAUUUGGCUGAAUAUGAGAACUAGGUGGCCUCUUCCCUCAGAUGAAAUUCUCAUUGACAAUGGCAAGGAUUGGGUGCUGCAUGUGCUGGCUAACUGCACAGAUGAGGUCCGGGAUAUGGUGAUUAUGUUAAUCUGGCGAAUCUGGCAACUGCGGACAGAUCAAACACAUGGCAAGGAAAUCCCACCAAUGGAGGUCACGGUGGAGUUCCUCGACAGCUACUACAGGUCUAUCAAACUUGCAGGCCGGUAUAACACGGAGGAAAUAAUCAAAGGGAAGAUGACAGUGUCUGCCGAGUGCACAGGCUCGCUAGUCAAAGUGAAGCCCCCGAACAGGCCAUGGCCAGCACCACAGCCGGGCUAUACAGCCUUGUCCGUCGACGGGUCCUUUUUGGCCUCCGAUGGAUCAGCGGCUGCUGGCAUGAUUCUACGUGACGAGGAAGGCAAGAUCAUUUUUUCAGCCGAUCGCUAUAUCUUUCACUGCAACGACUCUCUGGAAGCGGAAAUACACGCCCUCAUGCAGGGCAUGGUGCUGGCUAUACAGAAUACGUCACUUCCGGUGAUCGUUCAGUUAGAUUCCGCAGAAGCACUAUCGAUCUUGUCUAACAAUGGUCUGCUGAAGUCAUCUUAUGGGCAGUUGGUGCUUGAGAUUAAGGAGUUGAUGAGUAAUAGGGAGUUUUUACCACAGAAAAUUCACCGUAUUAUGCAGAGGCUGGAUGUAAUACUUAAGAGCAUCUCCAACAUCCGCGCUAAACAAGCGCCACGCCGCAAAUUUGGCCAUUUUAGCGCGCGCAACCCGGCGGGUGGCUCCAGCGGGCGCGCAGUAACCGCGCGCGCGGUCGGAUUCGCUAUCUCGCGCGGUGUAUUUGGGGCGCCCGCUUCCGCGCGCGGCACACUCGAGCGCUCGCGCCGCACUCUCUCCUCCCCGCCUCCUACGCCCCGCGGGUGCUGGCGCCGACGAACUGCACCCAUGGACACACACGCCGGCACCCCGCUCACCCCAUCCUACAGCCGCGGCCCCUCCCCCGCCGCCCCCGCCGUCGGAAACCCUAGCGCGGGGAGCGUCGGCCUCGCCACCGUCGGAGCUCCGCCGAGCAUCGGCCUCGCGCGCAGCCUCUUCUUGCCACCGCGGAUGACCACGGCGACGGAUGGCGUCGCGCCGGCGCCGUCUUGUGCCGCCGCCGCCCCCCCCCUCUCAAAGCUCCCCAAUGCGGUGCGGCCGAAGAAGGGCAAGACAUCCGCGAAGAAGAACAAGGCGACGGACGGCUCCGGCAGCUCGAAGGCAAGGGAAAAGAAGUUUGCAGGGCGUUUGAGGGCGCGGCGGCUACCGAAGCGCCGGCGAGCUCACUCGUUGAGCCGGCCGCCGACGCGCACAACUGUCAACGAUCAUGCAUACAUGUCAACUAUGGGUGUUGGCUCCAACAAUUCACAUUGGUCUCAAACCAAUGACAUGCAUUUUGAAAACCAUGAGUUUGAGGUGGACGAGGAUGGUGAGGGCAUUGUUGACGCGCCGAAAGGAAGAGCGGGCAAUUACACCAACGCCGAUGACAUCUUACUAUGCAAUACUUGGUUGCAAGUGUCGAGGGAUCCAUCCGUUGGAGGUGAUCAAAGUAGAGAUGCUUAUUGGGGGCGGAUGGAAGAACACUUUGAUGUUCGCAACGUGAGUGGAAUUGACUGCUCCGAGAGAUCACUUCGGUCCCGGUGGUCGACAAUCAACUCGGAUUGUCAAAGGUGGGCGGCCUGUCAAAAGGCGGUUGACAAGUUGAACCCAAGUAUGGGUGGCUUUGGAGCACCCCCCGACGCUAUGGCCGUCAUGGGAGGCAUGAGUUUUGCUUCUCUCAUGGGAGGCAUGGGUGCACCUCCGGCCGCCAUGGGCGGAAUGUCUUUCGAUGUGCCUCCUCACACACAUUCCCAUGAAGAUGUCGUUGAAGAUCUUGCCAACACCGUCGGAGCUUCACGUGAUGCGAGAAAGGAUCCAUGCCUGGCUGGCUUACGGGCAUCCGUAACUCCAUUCAGCAAUCCUACUAGGAGUAGGUUUGGACGGAGGCCGAUCGGACUUGGAUUGGUGCCGGUGGCGAGCUUCGGUCGGCUGAGGGACCGGUCCAUUGCACCGCACGUGAAUGCAAUAAGAAUGUGCAGAGCCACAGCGGAGCCUGUCACUGUCUCUGACCUGCGUAUCGAAUUAAGACGCCCGCGCGCGCAUAUUGAUAUUUGGGAAGCGCGUUUUGACCGGCUCUUCGCGCGCGAUUAUACCAGUCUGGCAGCGAGGACGUUUCGAGCUGACGGAUGGUACGCAAAGCAGCGCAUGCAGCAGGGGACAACCAACGAACGUGCCAACUGCGACAUCGACGGAACUCCUGUAGCUCGCGGAGCCGACGGUGGGUACUGCCUAGUGCCUACUGGGUACGACGAUGAUGCAGCAGUACUGCUCAACUGCUCCGAAUCCCUCCUCUUCCGAGACUCCAAAUGGCUAUCUCCAUUGCAUAGGCGCUUAUAUAGGUGA